Molecule: ribosomal RNA, 273 nt
Filed under: uncultured bacterium
Lineage: Bacteria
Description: partial 16S ribosomal RNA
Rfam family: Bacterial small subunit ribosomal RNA
Source: RNAcentral
UACGAAGGGGGCUAGCGUUGUUCGGAAUUACUGGGCGUAAAGCGCACGUAGGCGGAUAUUUAAGUCAGGGGUGAAAUCCCAGAGCUCAACUCUGGAACUGCCUUUGAUACUGGGUAUCUUGAGUAUGGAAGAGGUAAGUGGAAUUCCGAGUGUAGAGGUGAAAUUCGUAGAUAUUCGGAGGAACACCAGUGGCGAAGGCGGCUUACUGGUCCAUUACUGACGCUGAGGUGCGAAAGCGUGGGGAGCAAACAGGAUUAGAUACCCCGGUAGUCC